UCCCACCUCAAGCCGCUCCUCCUCGCCUUCGUGGACGACCGCCUGCUCCCGCCGUUCGCGCCCGCGUGCCUGCUCCUCAUCGCCUCGCUCUUGCCCGCGGAUCGCAGAGCAUCUCAUGGCGUCCCCGGCGCAGCCAGCCUCCGUCUCCGGCCCCUUCGGCUCCGCCGCCGACCUCACCAUCUUCUCCACUCCGACCACGACGCAGUGGGCGGAUCCAGGCCGUGCGAGUGAGAUGGCGGCCAGAUCCUCGUAUGGCGAGGACACGCAGCGGUCCCCACCGGCUAAAUCAGGUCCGUCUCCUCCCACAGCUGAGUCAUUUUACUGGUGGUUUGCCUCGCACGGCCACGACCUCUGACCCCUUCUCAUUGAUUUUCUCGGGCGGCCGCCUCUCCCACCAUCGACGGCACAUGCUGAACACCGAGAUCCUCCGCGCCAAGGCCAAGCUCCUCGAGGAGGAUCCACCCAAGCUACACGCCGGCCACAACCCCCCACCAGCGAAUCUUCUCGGGCGGAUUCGCGUCCUCCUCCCAAAGCAGUCGUCCCCGGCGAGCCAUCCUAGUGGCCAGAGGAGGUGGAGGAGCACCUGCCUCCUCUCCCCCAGCGCGUGGGCCGGUGGCUGCUUCCUCUUCCUCGCCUAGUGAACGGGGUGAGAUUCCCCUCUCUGCCUCCAGAUCCAAAUCAAAGUUUUUCUAUAUGCAUUUAGCCUCCACUGAAUCUUUGAGUUCCAGUUUCAUUCGUGUGUACUUAUUACAAUUGGUUUGUGUCAAUGCAACCUUAGUCCAGAUACCAUCGUUCCCAGAGAAUCCAAAUUUCAGUUAGUUCAUGUCAGUGUGGACUUAUCAGCAUGAUUCGACCAUGAAUCCAUGAUAUUAUCUAGUGCAGCCAAUGGGUUACUCAUGGUACCAAUUACUCUUAUGAAAUGGACAGUGCCACGUGCAAAUGAACUGAAACAUUUUAUUUUAUUUUGCGGGUACUUUGAGUCUUGACCAUCCCAGGUCUGAACCCUGCAACACAGCACAACACUGGUAUAGUGCAUGCAUCCUAUUAAUGCGGAAGGUUUCAUAUAUAGAUUGAUAAUCCAUGUGACUUUGACUGAAUUGUUGAGUUAGUAUAUACUUGACCAUCUUCGUCUGGCGCCCACACUCCCUCACACUACACGUCUUCAUCCACUGGGAUGGACAGGCGCUACGCACUUUACGUAGUAUACAUCUAUGGUGAGCCAGUCAGUAGUCGUGGCUGAGUCAUCAAUACUCACCUAGCAGCCACUUGUUGGCCACUUGAUUCAGAGUUUCAGACCAUAUAACCAUGCUUUAGAAGGCUAUAUUUGGUAAACACCCAAAAUGCCUCUUUUUUAGCUGAUGAAUCGUCCUACAUGCACAGUUUGCUUGAUGUCCUUGUUUAUCCAGAUUCUAGAAUGUUUGAUUGCAACAUUCUAUUGAAGAUAGAAGUAUAGGACCGGCGUACAUGAUCUGGAACCUUUUGGUUUCAAUCAGUUGCUGUUGCUGAUUUAAUGACUAUGCUCACGUUGUUGUUGAUUAAAUGCUUAUGUUGUUGCUGCAUGCUUAUGCUACUGAUUCAAUGCUUAGGAAUUGAUUGAAUUGAACCUGUUGUAAUCCUUCCUGUUCUACUUGUAUUUAAAUUUUGGGUUUCUAUUUGAUUUUUUAGUCUGUUAUUUACGGUUCAUCUUCAGUUUCUUCUGUAACUUGCUUGGAGCUUAGAAUACACAGCCCAACUAGUCUCAUAUACAAAUAAGACCAAUGAUUCAUGCUAAAUGCUAAAUUCUAUAUAUAUAUAUAUAUAUAUAUAUAUAUCUCUGUGUGUGUGUGUUGGAUUGGAGAACCACUCGAGGAGGGAGGGAGGAAGCACAGAAGGUCACCAUGGACCUCGCCCAACUCCCACCCAUCUUCCUGCCUGCAGCUGUAGGCCAAAUAAAGGAUGUUGUUCUCGGUUGAGUUGUGCUUGAGGAUGAGCAGAGAGAGAAAUUUAAUCAAAUCCAAUAGCUUCACUCGUGUCUGCCACUUCUCAUUAUCGUGUUGACAGAGCGUUCACCCGAUGGCGGAAUACCACGCCACGGCGUGGGCAGUCGGCGGUUGUGCUAUAUACGUUAGUGACAAACCCGAAAACCAUGACUUCGAUCUACUGAGGAAGCUUGUGUUUCCCGACGGAUCAGUCCUGCGAGCCAAACUAUCCGGGAGACAAACUGCACUAUAGUUGUCGUGGAAAUUCCAUGCGAUGGAAGCUUCUAGAGCCUGCUGGUACUUCCUAGCCAGAAGCACCACGAGCUCGAUGUCCAGCCCUACAUCCACCACCCCACGCACAAGGUGCUCUGCUCUUGCUCACGUCUAGCACCGUCUCCGGCGCGGUGGUGCUUCUUGAGGCGACCGGCGUGACGGCGGCGACCAAAAGCUCUCUGCUGUGAGUAGACGUCAAUGAUGCCUACUUGCUUGGCUGCUACAGUGAUGCAUGCGCCGGUCAAGCAAGCACACAUGCAUAUACGUACAUGUUAGGAUAGGAGCAGAUGUGCCAUAAUUCCUGUGUAAGGAAAUGUAUUCCUGAGAUGAUUUUAUUAUGUUAUGUAAACCUGGGAGAUGUGUUAUGUGAUGUGAUAUGAUGGAUGAUUUGAAUUCGACAUUGAGUUUUCCUGAUUUGAAUAUGAAACAA
Triticum urartu is the source of this 2661-nucleotide non-coding RNA. The record is from RefSeq and is a predicted model, not a curated record. Lineage: Eukaryota; Viridiplantae; Streptophyta; Magnoliopsida; Poales; Poaceae.